GAUGAACGCUGGCGGCGUGCUUAACACAUGCAAGUCGAACGGAAAGGCCAGUGCUUGCACUGGUGCUCGAGUGGCGAACGGGUGAGUAACACGUGGGUGAUCUGCCCUGCACUUUGGGAUAAGCCUGGGAAACUGGGUCUAAUACCAGAUAGGACCAUGCUUUGGAUGGUGUGGUGGAAAGUUUUUUCGGGGUGGGAUGAGCUUGCGGCCUAUCAGCUUGUUGGUGGGGUAAUGGCCUACCAAGGCGUCGACGGGUAGCCGGCCUGAGAGGGUGUACGGCCACAUUGGGACUGAGAGACGGCCCAGACUCCUACGGGAGGCAGCAGUGGGGAAGAUUGCACAAUGGGCGCAAGCCUGAUGCAGCGACGCCGCGUGGGGGAUGACGGCCUUCGGGUUGUAAACUCCUUUCGCAACUGACGAAGCUUUUUGUGACGGUAGGUUGAGAAGAAGCACCGGCUAACUACGUG
RNAcentral lists this ribosomal RNA (467 nucleotides) under uncultured bacterium. RNAcentral describes it as "partial 16S ribosomal RNA". It matches the Rfam family "Bacterial small subunit ribosomal RNA", at positions 28 to 507 of the family's 1533-position model. The record is from RNAcentral.